CUUUGCACUGAGAAUGAGGCAAGGC
RNAcentral lists this non-coding RNA (25 nucleotides) under Cricetulus griseus (Chinese hamster). The record is from RNAcentral. Lineage: Eukaryota; Metazoa; Chordata; Mammalia; Rodentia; Cricetidae.